GGGACUAUAGCUCAGACGGUUAGAGCGCACGCCUGAUAAGCGUGAGGUCGGUGGUUCGAUUCCACCUACCCCCACCA
RNAcentral lists this transfer RNA (77 nucleotides) under Gemmatimonadota bacterium. Its description in RNAcentral is "Gemmatimonadetes bacterium (marine metagenome) tRNA-Ile". It matches the Rfam family "tRNA". Rfam says of the family: Transfer RNA (tRNA) molecules are approximately 80 nucleotides in length. Their secondary structure includes four short double-helical elements and three loops (D, anti-codon, and T loops). Lineage: Bacteria; Pseudomonadati; Gemmatimonadota. The record is from RNAcentral.